GGUCCCUUCACAUCUAUCUCUCUCAAUGUUUUGCUUUUUGCUUUAAUUGUUCAACAUAUGAUAAUUAGGGUUUUAUUUGGUGAGUGUUACAAUGACCAAUACGUUCUUCCACUAUUUUGUGACGAAGAAAUUCUGAUAGGGUCGAUUGCAAAGAAGGGGUUGCAGCAGUACUUGCUUCAGCUUCAACAUCACCCAGAACCAAGGCAAUUACAGUGGAGGUUUUGUCAAUGAUCAGUGACAUAGUGUUGCAGAAGCUCAUCGGUAUUCAGAAACUUCAGAUAAGACGGCUCCUUCUCAAAGUGAUGUUCGAUUAUGAAUUAUAUAUUUGAGAAACCUUGUGUGAAACUGAUUUCUCUC
This is a non-coding RNA of Malus domestica (apple), 357 nucleotides long. NCBI's taxonomy places the organism in Eukaryota, Viridiplantae, Streptophyta, Magnoliopsida, Rosales, Rosaceae. The record is from RefSeq and is a predicted model, not a curated record.